AACGUAGGAGGCGAGCGUUAUCCGGAUUCACUGGGCGUAAAGCGCGUGUAGGUGGUUCGUCAAGUCGAAUGUGAAAGCCCCUGGCCCAACUGGGGGAGGCCAUUCGAUACUGAGGGACUUGAGGCAAGGAGAGGAAGGUGGAAUUCCCGGUGUAGCGGUGGAAUGCGUAGAGAUCGGGAGGAACACCAGUGGCGAAAGCGGCCUUCUGGCCUUGUCCUGACACUGAGACGCGAAAGCGUGGGGAG
RNAcentral lists this ribosomal RNA (245 nucleotides) under uncultured bacterium. RNAcentral describes it as "partial 16S ribosomal RNA". It matches the Rfam family "Bacterial small subunit ribosomal RNA", at positions 524 to 768 of the family's 1533-position model. The record is from RNAcentral.